RNAcentral lists this ribosomal RNA (242 nucleotides) under uncultured bacterium. Its description in RNAcentral is "partial 16S ribosomal RNA". It matches the Rfam family "Bacterial small subunit ribosomal RNA", at positions 535 to 776 of the family's 1533-position model. The record is from RNAcentral.
CAAGCGUUGUUCGGAAUUACUGGGCGUAAAGGGCGCGUAGGCGGCACGGCAAGUCGGGAGUGAAAGCCCGGGGCUCAACCCCGGAACUGCUCACGAAACUGCCGAGCUAGAGUGCGGAAGAGGCAACUGGAAUUCCCAGUGUAGCGGUGAAAUGCGUAGAUAUUGGGAAGAACACCGGAGGCGAAGGCGGGUUGCUGGGCCGACACUGACGCUGAGGCGCGAAAGCCAGGGGAGCGAACGGG